This 520-nucleotide ribosomal RNA is filed under the name uncultured bacterium. Its description in RNAcentral is "bacterial SSU rRNA". It matches the Rfam family "Bacterial small subunit ribosomal RNA", at positions 26 to 518 of the family's 1533-position model. The record is from RNAcentral.
AGGACGAACGCUGGCGGCGUGCCUAAUACAUGCAAGUCGAACGGUCUUUUCUAUGGAAGCUUGCUUCCACUGAGAAGAUAGUGGCGAACGGGUGAGUAACACGUGGGUAACCUGCCCAUAAGAGGGGGAUAACAUCCGGAAACGGGUGCUAAUACCGCAUAGUUUUCUUGAUCGCAUGAUCGGGAAAGGAAAGACGGCCUUUGUGCUGUCGCUUAUGGAUGGACCCGCGGCGUAUUAGUUAGUUGGUGAGGUAAUGGCUCACCAAGACGAUGAUACGUAGCCGACCUGAGAGGGUGAUCGGCCACAUUGGGACUGAGACACGGCCCAAACUCCUACGGGAGGCAGCAGUAGGGAAUCUUCCGCAAUGGACGAAAGUCUGACGGAGCAACGCCGCGUGAGUGAAGAAAGGUUUUCGGAUCGUAAAACUCUGUUGUCAGAGAAGAACAAGUUGGAGAGUAACUGCUCCAGCCUUGACGGUAUCUGACCAGAAAGCCACGGCUAACUACGUGCCAGCCGCUGC